RNAcentral lists this long non-coding RNA (716 nucleotides) under Homo sapiens (human). RNAcentral describes it as "HSALNT0102634". The record is from RNAcentral. Lineage: Eukaryota; Metazoa; Chordata; Mammalia; Primates; Hominidae.
GUCCCCAGCUGUCAGUUGCACGCUGAGAGAGAAAAGGCCCUGCAAAGUAAUGGAUCCCUGUGCUGGAAGAUGUCGACAACUCAAGAUAAGAAAGCUGAGCCCAAGAGAUGAUAAGUUAUGAGUCUGCCCGGUUUCACUGUCUACAGUUUGCUGCCUUGCUUAGAGAUGGCCUGUCUCCUUGACCAUGUAUGAAUCUUUCUCUAGUGCAGAUAUCAGGAAUCUGAAUUUCCGGGGCAUAACGUGUGCACAGAUGCAGCUUCAACAGAUUCAUCAUAUCAUCCCCUUCAGAGCUGCUGUGACAGUUUACACCAGAUUAACUCUCAGUUUCCAGAAAAAGAGGAAACUCUGGCCUAGAAACUGGAAGCGCCAGAAUCAGUCCCAGUUUCCCAGUUCACAGUCUCACCCACUUCCCUCCACAUACUCUCCAUAACGAGACUACAUUCCAGUCCUACACUAAGGUUUCACAAAUGCUGGAGUUGAUGGGGCAAUGGUUAACAUUCAUUAAGUGAGAGCCAAAGGCCAAGCAGUGCUAAUCUUCCAUUGAAUGGGCCCUGCAGCUACUGGCAGUGGGUUUUAAUUGGGUUUUCUAUUAAAGCAAUUUUCUCCUCAGUGAUUUAUCAUAAAGAAAUGACACAAUUAAGUCUCAUUUGGAAACACUAAUGAAUUAUUUAGCAUGGACCAGGCAAAAAGAAAACAUGACCUCCAUUAGCCUCAUC